AGAGCAUGUAUACACAACAUAUCUAAGAAAAUAAAAAAAAUACUUGAAUAGUUAUGAUUUCAGAAGAACCCUAGAGUGAGAAAGGCUUAGAAAAGGUCCGAUCUAAGUCGGAUAAGGUCAGAAACAGGCUCAGAAGACCAAGAGCCAUCGGAGCAAGGUCAGAGAUAGCUAGAAUCCUCGAAUCGAUGAAGGUCUAAGUGAAGACCUUCGAAGUUUAUCCUCGAUCCUUCAAUCAUCAGUCAUAUAGGAGAUGUAGGAGGUAAGCAUAGGUUGUCCAUGGCCUGAGGAGCCAUGGAUUCUGGUGAGUUUACGGGUGGAGAUGGUAGAAGGCGGCUAGGGUUUGAGAGGAAGUUGAGAGAGAACUAGUAGAGAAGGGAAUCAGAG
RNAcentral lists this long non-coding RNA (384 nucleotides) under Nicotiana benthamiana. RNAcentral's name for it is "long non-coding RNA (NBEN_LNC036955)". Lineage: Eukaryota; Viridiplantae; Streptophyta; Magnoliopsida; Solanales; Solanaceae. The record is from RNAcentral.